Molecule: ribosomal RNA, 2928 nt
Filed under: Salmonella enterica subsp. enterica serovar Enteritidis str. SA20094642
Lineage: Bacteria; Pseudomonadati; Pseudomonadota; Gammaproteobacteria; Enterobacterales; Enterobacteriaceae
Description: bacterial LSU rRNA
Rfam family: Bacterial large subunit ribosomal RNA
Source: RNAcentral
GGGUUGUGAGGUUAAGCGACUAAGCGUACACGGUGGAUGCCCUGGCAGUCAGAGGCGAUGAAGGGCGUACUAAUCUGCGAUAAGCGCCGGUAAGGUGAUAUGAACCGUUAUAACCGGCGAUACCCGAAUGGGGAAACCCAGUGUGAUUCGUCACACUAUCAUUAACUGAAUCCAUAGGUUAAUGAGGCGAACCGGGGGAACUGAAACAUCUAAGUACCCCGAGGAAAAGAAAUCAACCGAGAUUCCCCCAGUAGCGGCGAGCGAACGGGGAGGAGCCCAGAGCCUGAAUCAGCAUGUGUGUUAGUGGAAGCGUCUGGAAAGGCGCGCGAUACAGGGUGACAGCCCCGUACACAAAAGCGCAUGUGCUGUGAGCUCGAUGAGUAGGGCGGGACACGUGGUAUCCUGUCUGAAUAUGGGGGGACCAUCCUCCAAGGCUAAAUACUCCUGACUGACCGAUAGUGAACCAGUACCGUGAGGGAAAGGCGAAAAGAACCCCGGCGAGGGGAGUGAAAAAGAACCUGAAACCGUGUACGUACAAGCAGUGGGAGCACAGGUNNNNNNNNNNNNNNNCGUACCUUUUGUAUAAUGGGUCAGCGACUUAUAUUCUGUAGCAAGGUUAACCGAAUAGGGGAGCCGGAGGGAAACCGAGUCUUAAUUGGGCGUUAAGUUGCAGGGUAUAGACCCGAAACCCGGUGAUCUAGCCAUGGGCAGGUUGAAGGUUGGGUAACACUAACUGGAGGACCGAACCGACUAAUGUUGAAAAAUUAGCGGAUGACCUGUGGCUGGGGGUGAAAGGCCAAUCAAACCGGGAGAUAGCUGGUUCUCCCCGAAAGCUAUUUAGGUAGCGCCUCGUGAAUUCAUCUCCGGGGGUAGAGCACUGUUUCGGCUAGGGGGCCAUCCCGGCUUACCAACCCGAUGCAAACUGCGAAUACCGGAGAAUGUUAUCACGGGAGACACACGGCGGGUGCUAACGUCCGUCGUGAAGAGGGAAACAACCCAGACCGCCAGCUAAGGUCCCAAAGUCAUGGUUAAGUGGGAAACGAUGUGGGAAGGCCCAGACAGCCAGGAUGUUGGCUUAGAAGCAGCCAUCAUUUAAAGAAAGCGUAAUAGCUCACUGGUCGAGUCGGCCUGCGCGGAAGAUGUAACGGGGCUAAACCAUGCACCGAAGCUGCGGCAGCGACACUGUGUGUUGUUGGGUAGGGGAGCGUUCUGUAAGCCUGCGAAGGUGGCCUGUGAGGGUUGCUGGAGGUAUCAGAAGUGCGAAUGCUGACAUAAGUAACGAUAAAGCGGGUGAAAAGCCCGCUCGCCGGAAGACCAAGGGUUCCUGUCCAACGUUAAUCGGGGCAGGGUGAGUCGACCCCUAAGGCGAGGCCGAAAGGCGUAGUCGAUGGGAAACGGGUUAAUAUUCCCGUACUUGGUGUUACUGCGAAGGGGGGACGGAGAAGGCUAUGUUGGCCGGGCGACGGUUGUCCCGGUUUAAGCGUGUAGGUGUGUGUUCCAGGUAAAUCCGGUUCACUUUAACACUGAGGCGUGACGACGAGGCACUACGGUGCUGAAGCAACAAAUGCCCUGCUUCCAGGAAAAGCCUCUAAGCAUCAGGUAACAUCAAAUCGUACCCCAAACCGACACAGGUGGUCAGGUAGAGAAUACCAAGGCGCUUGAGAGAACUCGGGUGAAGGAACUAGGCAAAAUGGUGCCGUAACUUCGGGAGAAGGCACGCUGACACGUAGGUGAAGUGAUUUACUCAUGGAGCUGAAGUCAGUCGAAGAUACCAGCUGGCUGCAACUGUUUAUUAAAAACACAGCACUGUGCAAACACGAAAGUGGACGUAUACGGUGUGACGCCUGCCCGGUGCCGGAAGGUUAAUUGAUGGGGUCAGCGCAAGCGAAGCUCCUGAUCGAAGCCCCGGUAAACGGCGGCCGUAACUAUAACGGUCCUAAGGUAGCGAAAUUCCUUGUCGGGUAAGUUCCGACCUGCACGAAUGGCGUAAUGAUGGCCAGGCUGUCUCCACCCGAGACUCAGUGAAAUUGAACUCGCUGUGAAGAUGCAGUGUACCCGCGGCAAGACGGAAAGACCCCGUGAACCUUUACUAUAGCUUGACACUGAACAUUGAGCCUUGAUGUGUAGGAUAGGUGGGAGGCUUUGAAGUGUGGACGCCAGUCUGCAUGGAGCCGACCUUGAAAUACCACCCUUUAAUGUUUGAUGUUCUAACGUGGACCCGUUACCCGGGUUGCGGACAGUGUCUGGUGGGUAGUUUGACUGGGGCGGUCUCCUCCUAAAGAGUAACGGAGGAGCACGAAGGUUGGCUAAUCCUGGUCGGACAUCAGGAGGUUAGUGCAAUGGCAUAAGCCAGCUUGACUGCGAGCGUGACGGCGCGAGCAGGUGCGAAAGCAGGUCAUAGUGAUCCGGUGGUUCUGAAUGGAAGGGCCAUCGCUCAACGGAUAAAAGGUACUCCGGGGAUAACAGGCUGAUACCGCCCAAGAGUUCAUAUCGACGGCGGUGUUUGGCACCUCGAUGUCGGCUCAUCACAUCCUGGGGCUGAAGUAGGUCCCAAGGGUAUGGCUGUUCGCCAUUUAAAGUGGUACGCGAGCUGGGUUUAGAACGUCGUGAGACAGUUCGGUCCCUAUCUGCCGUGGGCGCUGGAGAACUGAGGGGGGCUGCUCCUAGUACGAGAGGACCGGAGUGGACGCAUCACUGGUGUUCGGGUUGUCAUGCCAAUGGCACUGCCCGGUAGCUAAAUGCGGAAGAGAUAAGUGCUGAAAGCAUCUAAGCACGAAACUUGCCCCGAGAUGAGUUCUCCCUGAGACUUAAAGUCUCCUGAAGGAACGUUGAAGACGACGACGUUGAUAGGCCGGGUGUGUAAGCGCAGCGAUGCGUUGAGCUAACCGGUACUAAUGAACCGUGAGGCUUAACCUUACAACGCCGAAG